AAAGGGUAUAAUUUUGCAUUGUUCGUAUCCAAUGUUUGACCGUUCAUCUUAUUUAAUUUUUUUACGAUUAGUAUUUUUAAUAUUAUUAUAUGAUAAAACAGGAAUAGUACUUUAUUAUGAUUAUUUUUUUAAUUUUUUCAUAAAUUUUUUAAAUAAAAUGAACGGUUAAAUGUUGGAUACGAAUAUCCACAACUACACUUAAA
Non-coding RNA from Oryza punctata, 203 nucleotides. The record is from Rfam. Lineage: Eukaryota; Viridiplantae; Streptophyta; Magnoliopsida; Poales; Poaceae.